UACGGGGGGAGCAAGCGUUGUUCGGAUUUACUGGGCGUAAAGGGCGCGUAGGCGGCCACUGCAAGUCAGUUGUGAAAUCUCCGGGCUUAACUCGGAAAGGUCAACUGAUACUGCAGGGCUAGAGUGUGGAAGGGGUAACUGGAAUUCUCGGUGUAGCGGUGAAAUGCGUAGAUAUCGAGAGGAACACCUGUGGCGAAGGCGGCUCGCUGGGCCGCAACUGACGCUGAUGCGCGAAAGCUAGGGGAGCGAACGGG
RNAcentral lists this ribosomal RNA (254 nucleotides) under uncultured prokaryote. Its description in RNAcentral is "partial 16S ribosomal RNA". It matches the Rfam family "Bacterial small subunit ribosomal RNA", at positions 524 to 776 of the family's 1533-position model. The record is from RNAcentral.